GCCUUGGUGGUCUAGAGGUAUGAUUGUCGCUUCGGGUGUGACAGGUCCCGGGUUCGAAUCCCGGCUGAGGCC
Molecule: transfer RNA, 72 nt
Filed under: Candidatus Bathyarchaeota archaeon
Lineage: Archaea; Thermoproteati; Candidatus Bathyarchaeota
Description: tRNA-Pro
Rfam family: tRNA
About the family: Transfer RNA (tRNA) molecules are approximately 80 nucleotides in length. Their secondary structure includes four short double-helical elements and three loops (D, anti-codon, and T loops).
Source: RNAcentral